RNAcentral lists this ribosomal RNA (1970 nucleotides) under Pannonibacter phragmitetus DSM 14782. Its description in RNAcentral is "bacterial LSU rRNA". It matches the Rfam family "Bacterial large subunit ribosomal RNA", at positions 828 to 2925 of the family's 2925-position model. The record is from RNAcentral. Lineage: Bacteria; Pseudomonadati; Pseudomonadota; Alphaproteobacteria; Hyphomicrobiales; Stappiaceae.
GCCAAUCAAACUCGGAAAUAGCUGGUUCUCCGCGAAAUCUAUUUAGGUAGAGCGUCAGACGAAUACUCCUGGGGGUAGAGCACUGGAUGGGCUAUGGGGACUUACCGUCUUACUGAUCCUAACCAAACUCCGAAUACCAGGAAGUACUAUCUGGCAGACACACAGUGGGUGCUAACGUCCAUUGUGGAGAGGGCAACAACCCUGACCGCCAGUUAAGGCCCCCAAAUCAUGGCUAAGUGGGAAAGGAUGUAGAACUCCCAAAACAACCAGGAUGUUGGCUUAGAAGCAGCCAUCAUUUAAAGAAAGCGUAACAGCUCACUGGUCUAAACAAGGGGUUCCGCGCCGAAAAUGUAACGGGGCUCAAGCCAUGUGCCGAAACUGCGGGUGCACGUAAGUGCGCGGUAGCGGAGCGUUCCGUAGGCUGAUGAAGGCAGACCCGUGAGGGCUGCUGGAGGUAUCGGAAGUGCGAAUGCUGACAUGAGUAACGACAAAGCGGGUGAGAGACCCGCUCGCCGAAAGUCCAAGGGUUCCUGCUCAACGUUAAUCGGAGCAGGGUUAGCCGGCCCCUAAGGCGAGGCCGAAAGGCGUAGUCGAUGGGAAUGCAGUUAAUAUUCUGCAGCCUGCGGGUGGUGACGGAUGCCGUGUAUCGUAUCCCCUUACUGGAUUGGGGAUGCGGUGAAGGUGUCCCAGGAAAUAGCCCCCGCAUUAUAGACCGUACCCUAAACCGACACAGGUGGACAGGUAGAGCAUACCAAGGCGCUUGAGAGAACUAUGCUGAAGGAACUCGGCAAAUUGCUCCCGUAAGUUCGCGAGAAGGGAGCCUUCUGAUCGGGCAACCGGUCAGGAGGGGCACAGACUAGGGGGUGGCGACUGUUUAUCAAAAACACAGGGCUCUGCGAAGCCGUAAGGCGACGUAUAGGGUCUGACGCCUGCCCGGUGCCGGAAGGUUAAGAGGAGGUGUGCAAGCUCCGAAUUGAAGCCCCGGUAAACGGCGGCCGUAACUAUAACGGUCCUAAGGUAGCGAAAUUCCUUGUCGGGUAAGUUCCGACCUGCACGAAUGGCGUAACGACUUCCCCGCUGUCUCCAGCAUAGGCUCAGUGAAAUUGAAUUCCCCGUGAAGAUGCGGGGUUCCUGCGGUCAGACGGAAAGACCCCGUGCACCUUUACUACAGCUUCACACUGGUAUUCGUGUCGACAUGUGUAGGAUAGGUGGUAGACGUCGAAGCGAGGGCGCCAGCUCUCGUGGAGUCAUCCUUGAAAUACCACCCUUGUCGUCAUGGAUAUCUAACCGCGAUGUAACAGCAUCCGGGACCGUGUGUGGCGGGUAGUUUGACUGGGGCGGUCGCCUCCCAAAUGGUAACGGAGGCGCGCGAAGGUGGGCUCAGACCGGUCGGAAAUCGGUCGUCGAGUGCAAUGGCAUAAGCCUGCCUGACUGCGAGACUGACAAGUCGAGCAGAGACGAAAGUCGGCCAUAGUGAUCCGGUGGUCCCUCGUGGAAGGGCCAUCGCUCAACGGAUAAAAGGUACGCCGGGGAUAACAGGCUGAUGACCCCCAAGAGUCCAUAUCGACGGGGUUGUUUGGCACCUCGAUGUCGACUCAUCGCAUCCUGGGGCUGGAGCAGGUCCCAAGGGUAUGGCUGUUCGCCAUUUAAAGCGGUACGUGAGUUGGGUUCAGAACGUCGCGAGACAGUUCGGUCCCUAUCUGCCGUGGGUGUAGGAGAAUUGAGAGGAUCUGUCCCUAGUACGAGAGGACCGGGAUGGACGAACCUCUGGUGGACCUGUUGUGGCGCCAGCCGCAGUGCAGGGUAGCUAUGUUCGGAAUAGAUAACCGCUGAAGGCAUCUAAGCGGGAAACUAACCUCAAAACAAGUUCUCCCUGAAGAGCCGUGGUAGACCACCACGUCGAUAGGAGGCAUGUGGAAGCACGGCAACGUGUGAAGCUGAGCCUUACUAAUAGCUCGUCCGGCUUGAUC